AACGAACGCUGGCGGCAUGCCUAACACAUGCAAGUCGAACGAGACCUUCGGGUCUGGUGGCGCACGGGUGCGUAACGCGUGGGAACCUGCCCUUAGGUUCGGAAUAACUCCCCGAAAGGGGUGCUAAUACCGGAUAAUGUCUUCGGACCAAAGAUUUAUCGCCUUUGGAUGGGCCCGCGUUGGAUUAGCUAGUUGUUAGUGUAAAAGCCUACCAAGGCGACGAUCCAUAGCUGGUCUGAGAGGAUGAUCAGCCACACUGGGACUGAGACACGGUCCAGACUACUACGGGAGGCAGCAGUGGGGAAUAUUGGAAAAUGGGCGAAAGAAUGAUCCAGCAAUGCCGCGUGAGUGAUGAAGGCCUUAGGGUUGUAAAGCUCUUUUACCCGGGAUGAUAAUGACAGUACCGGGAGAAUAAGCACCGGCUAACUUCGUG
Molecule: ribosomal RNA, 433 nt
Filed under: uncultured bacterium
Lineage: Bacteria
Description: partial 16S ribosomal RNA
Rfam family: Bacterial small subunit ribosomal RNA
Source: RNAcentral